RNAcentral lists this transfer RNA (62 nucleotides) under Glycera cf. oxycephala FS21. Its description in RNAcentral is "tRNA-Ala". The record is from RNAcentral. Lineage: Eukaryota; Metazoa; Annelida; Polychaeta; Phyllodocida; Glyceridae.
CUUCUUCUAGUUUAAAUAGAACAUUUGUUUUGCACACAAAAGGCAGAUAAUCCUGAAGAAGU